This 428-nucleotide ribosomal RNA is filed under the name uncultured archaeon. RNAcentral's name for it is "bacterial SSU rRNA". It matches the Rfam family "Archaeal small subunit ribosomal RNA", at positions 474 to 903 of the family's 1478-position model. The record is from RNAcentral.
UACCUGCAGCUCAAGUGGUGGCCGCUAUUAUUGGGCCUAAAACGUUAGUAGCCGGUUUAGUAAAUGCCUGGGUAAAUCGUGCCGCUCAACGGUACGAAUUCCGGGUAGACUGCUAAGCUUGAGACCGGGAGAAGUUAGAGGUACUCUUGGGGUAGAGGUGAAAUUCUGUAAUCCUAGGGGGACCACCAGUGGCGAAGGCGUCUAACUAGAACGGGUCUGACGGUGAGGGACGAAGCCCUGGGGCGCAAACCGGAUUAGAUACCCGGGUAGUCCAGGGUGUAAACGCUGCUUGCUUGAUGUUGGUUGGGCUCCGAGCCCAAUCAGUGUCGGAGAGAAGUUGUUAAGCAAGCUGCCUGGGAAGUACGGUCGCAAGACUGAAACUUAAAGGAAUUGGCGGGGAGCACAGCAACGGGUGGAGCGUGCGGUUU